This is a long non-coding RNA of Ricinus communis (castor bean), 1742 nucleotides long. RefSeq lists it as uncharacterized. The record is from RefSeq and is a predicted model, not a curated record. The transcript has 4 exons. NCBI's taxonomy places the organism in Eukaryota, Viridiplantae, Streptophyta, Magnoliopsida, Malpighiales, Euphorbiaceae.
UUCAUAACAACAAACCUACAACAAUAACAACCUCUCAUCCCUCUUUUUUCUUUUUUCUCUCUCACGGCCGAUUUUUCGUUUUCUCCAUUAAUGUGGAGAUUAUAAAGCUAUUAAGGGACAUCUCUCUCUCGGUUGUUCCAUGGAGAUACAAAUAUUUGCAUGCAUGUGAAUGUUUUGAUGAGUUGUUAUUAUGUGAGGAGGCGAGUGAUCGAUGUUGUUGACAGAAGAUAGAGAGCACUGACGAUGAAAUGCAUGAUGGGACUCUGCAUCUCACUCCUUUGUGCUCUCUAGUCUUCUGUCAUCAUCACCUUCAGCCCCUCAAUUCAUUUUCUCUGCUUCAUAUCUACAUUUCUGUAUACAAAUAUAUGUAUAUAUAUAUUCUAACAUUUCACUGCAACUUCUACCCACUGGAGCAGUCAGUUUUAGGCGGCCAGCUUUAUAUUUUAGCCUUCUCCAAAUACAUAAUGUUCCAGUUUCAUGUUUUCAUUGUCAUGGGAUUUUUGUUUGCAGAUUAUCAAAUUUAUGCAUAGUUAAUUAACCUAGAGGCUGGGGCUGGGGCUUCCUGACUGCAACUGCCAAAUUAAACUUAAGUCACUAAUACAAUUAUCUCAAGACCCUAGUCCUCUCUCUCUCUCUCUCUUUUCUUGGACGAGUCAAACAUCUUCUCAUUUCAUUCACUAAUAUUACAUACCCAAUCCACAAAAUACGAAAAUCUGAUUUACAUCAAAAUUCUUUUCACCAUAGAUCUCUUUUAGCUCAAUUAUCGUCCUUGAAUUUCCAUAUAUAUAUAUUUGUUUUGUCAAAUAUAUAAAAUUAUUUGUGAUCUUCCACUAAUAACUUAAGUUUUUUUAUAUUAUAUAAAAGAAAUCUAUUACUAAAAAGUUUAGAGUUCGAUCAUUGAUCAAUCCCAUUUUAUUGACAAAAAAAUUUCAAACAAUUACACAGUUUUUGAAGAUCAAUCGAGUAGAGGGUUAUCUAAGAGACUUACAAAUUUUUAUAUUUACUAAUAGUCUAAAUUUUUGGAUAGAAUCUAGUUGAAUGAAAUUAUACAGGUUUUAGAGAUCUCUCAAGUACUAUUAAAUUAUUAAUCCGAAUUAAUCUCAUUUAUUGGUAUAUUACUGGGUUCUAUUUUAUGAUAGCAAGUCAACAAAAACUAAGGGCUUAGGCAUUGGAUUCUAAGCAUCGCAUUCCAGAUUGCCACCACAUGUGUACACCGAACCAGUUGAUUGAUUUUCUGAAAUUGAUCGUAGAAGAAUUGCGUAGGAAAAGAAAAAUACAAGAAAGCCAAAGCUGGAGAAAUGCCUUUCCUCUUGAACCACGAAAAGCAAAAAGCUACAGUGUAUUGAGCUUUCAUGAAUUAAGAGCUAUAAAAUAAUAACAAGAACAAAAAGAAAGAUUGGAAACACAUCUCUUCUUCAAUUGAUCAUGUAGGACCGCAAAGAUUUUCUGUCAGAAUCUCUAUUAUCAGUUAGCUGUUCAAGAAUGCGAGAAAUGAAGAGAGAGGUUGAUGAUAGGAAUGUACACAAAGAGAAAACCUAACUUAAAAAUUGAUAGUAUGGCUCCUUAAUAUGGGCAUGUACCCAAAAUAAGAAAAGAAAGAGUGCAAGGAGUGUACCAUUAAAUGAGGUGUGUGUAAUGAAAUGAGCGUAAAAUAAUUAUAUUGCGGUGGCAGUAUGAAAUGUGUUGUAGUAUAAAUAUUUUAUACUAAAGUUUUUUUAAUAUAAGAAAAGUUUUUUUCUGAA